This 328-nucleotide ribosomal RNA is filed under the name uncultured eukaryote. RNAcentral's name for it is "partial 18S ribosomal RNA". It matches the Rfam family "Eukaryotic small subunit ribosomal RNA", at positions 1470 to 1796 of the family's 1831-position model. The record is from RNAcentral.
CCCUCAGAUGUCCUGGGCCGCACGCGCGCUACACUGAUGCAUGCAACGAGUUUAUAACCUUGGCCUGAAAGGUCUGGGUAAUCUUUUGAACGUGCAUCGUGAUAGGGAUAGAUUAUUGCAAUUGUUAAUCUUGAACGAGGAAUUCCUAGUAAACGCGAGUCAUCAGCUCGCAUUGAUUACGUCCCUGCCCUUUGUACACACCGCCCGUCGCACCUACCGAUUGAAUGGUUCGGUGAAGAUCUCGGACUUCGAUAUUUAUUCUUUAUUGAGUUUAUAUUGUGGGAAGUUAUCUAAACCUCAUCAUUUAGAGGAAGGUGAAGUCGUAACA